RNAcentral lists this ribosomal RNA (395 nucleotides) under uncultured bacterium. RNAcentral describes it as "bacterial SSU rRNA". It matches the Rfam family "Bacterial small subunit ribosomal RNA", at positions 505 to 898 of the family's 1533-position model. The record is from RNAcentral.
GUGUCAGCCGCCGCGGUAAUACGUAGGGGGCGAGCGUUGUCCGAAUUCACUGGGCGUAAAGCGCGCGUAGGCGGACAUUUAAGUUGUGGGUGAAAUCCCGGGGCUCAACCCCGGAACUGCCUGCAAAACUGGGUGUCUUGAGGUAUGAAGAGGGAAGUGGAAUUCCUGGUGUAGCGGUGAAAUGCGUAGAUAUCAGGAGGAACACCCGUGGCGAAGGCGGCUUCCUGGUCAUAUCCUGACGCUGAGGUGCGAAAGCCAGGGGAGCGAACGGGAUUAGAUACCCCGGUAGUCCUGGCCGUAAACGAUGGAUACUAGGUGUUAGAGGUAUCGACCCCUCUAGUGCCGCAGCUAACGCAUUAAGUAUCCCGCCUGGGGAGUACGACCGCAAGGUUGAA